CGUGGGUCCGAGUGCAGUGGUGUUUACACUUAAUUGAUCACAGCCAGUUACAGAUUUCUUUGUUCCUUCUCCACUCCCACUGCUUCACUUGACUAGCCUUAA
Molecule: unclassified non-coding RNA, 102 nt
Organism: Erinaceus europaeus (western European hedgehog)
Lineage: Eukaryota; Metazoa; Chordata; Mammalia; Eulipotyphla; Erinaceidae
Rfam family: Y RNA
About the family: Y RNAs are components of the Ro ribonucleoprotein particle (Ro RNP), in association with Ro60 and La proteins. The Y RNAs and Ro60 and La proteins are well conserved, but the function of the Ro RNP is not known.
Source: Ensembl